GGAGCUGAAGUUGAAGAUGAUGAUGAGGAAGCUGAGUAUUGAGUCAUCCCAUCUGGAUGCAUGGUUAUUUUCCUUUGGUAUCAGUCAACCAGGAGUGCUUGGGUUGCAUGGUUGUACCUCCCAUUUGUUUCCCUGUUUGCUAUUGCAUUACACCUGUUCAUGAUUGCCAGAGUAGAACUGUGAAGAUUGGUUGAACUGGUGUGAUGGUUUGAGAUAAAAUAAAAUAAGUAUUAAAAAUGUCACGUGAAAGAUAUAUUAGUAGAGUAGUCAUUAGUCACAAGAAACAUACUUCAAUAUCAUAAUAAUACUAUAGUCACAGCAAAUCCUGCUAUAAACGCCAAAGUCAAAUACCUCUAUAGAGACCGUGUUGAUGACUUGAUAUCCUAAACAAUAAACAGCAAAAAAGAACAAGGGCAGUAUGUGCCGUGUGCAAUGCAUUGGGAGACGUGAGGACCCCUUGGAAGAUACUACAUUCCUUAUUAAUGGGUAAGGAUGGAUGCCAUAGCAGAUGCAUUUCUUGAUCAGUGGUUCACUCGGUUCACUGAGCAUAUUGAAGACAAAACAUGCUGUGGUACUGUGGUGUUAAGUACUCCCUACGUUCCAAAUUAUAAUUCACUUUGAAUUUUUUUGGUACAUCCAUUUUGCUACAAAUCUAGAUAUAAUAUGUCUAGAAACAUAGCAAAAUGGAUGAUUGAAAAAAGUCAAAGCGACUUAUAAUUUGGAAUGGAGGAAGUAUAUGAGAUGGCCAUAGGAACAGCACACACCGAAAAGCUAGGUCAGGACAUUUAUAGGAAAUCCACAAGGUAUGGAGCCAUGGAGGUGUUUGCUUCUCAUCACUGAACCUCUCAAUUCAUUGGAUCAACGGGUGUACAGAUCUUCUUGAGAAACUGAGACUCAGAGGAGGGGAGAGGGGGGGGGGGGGGGGGGGGAUGCCCCAGUUACUGACCGGAGAAAUGCUCAACCCAAAAAAGACAUCCAUGCUAUCAAAUUGAGCCAUAGAUACAGAUAGUGUUUGUUCAUGUAUCAUAAUCACUGAAUAAUGGAGGGUAUUAUUUCGUGAUUAUGAUACUUCAACAAAUAUUAUCAGUAUGUUUGGCUAGUUGUUCCCAUAACAAAUUUUCCCCCUUUAUACCAUCUUAUAAAAAUCACAGCAAAGCCAUUGCCGUCCUUUACACUAAAUAAGAUACCAAAUACAUGCAGAAUAUUUUACAGAUGACUUCCAUAGAUAUAGUACUAGAAACUGAUUUCUUAACAAAAACAUUGGAUGGGCGAUCGAUUCGUCAGAGAAGUACCUAUAGUGAUAGAAACUAAGACAGUGAUUUUUAUUGUGGGAACAAAUGAGGCACAUAGGAGAAGAAGAAAAAAAAAAGCUACCGCAGCUCCACUUCCAAUUAAACGGUGGGGUUCUAAUGAAGAUGGUAGCGUGCAGGUGCACACCUGCUAGUGAACGGAGGCGGCGGCGACGAGCAUGCCGAACUGUCGAUUCAGCGCAGAUCACCCCUCAUUCUCCGACGGCAUCAGUCAUCUACCUUUCUCUCUCGGAGACGCGAGACGACCGAGUUGGGGGGCGAUGGAGGAGGGCGGAGAGCCGGAGACGAGGAGGUAGCCGGCCGGAGCCCGGUUCGUGGAGGACUGGAGGGGAAGGGUUGGUCACAGGAGAUCGGACACUGACACAGUAGGUCCCACGUCUGUAUCAACCACGGGCCAACUGGAUAGCGGACAACUGUCGGUGGUCUUUCUUAGUGGGCCGGAUCCAUUUUCAUGGGCAUCCUAAUUUCUCGGUGGG
RNAcentral lists this long non-coding RNA (1786 nucleotides) under Sorghum bicolor (sorghum). RNAcentral describes it as "long non-coding RNA (SBIC_LNC001706)". The record is from RNAcentral. Lineage: Eukaryota; Viridiplantae; Streptophyta; Magnoliopsida; Poales; Poaceae.